UUAUUUUAAGUUAAUAGUGUACUGGUUAUAACUAAUAUCAAAUCUUUACUAAUACUUGAUUUCUUUUUAUGAUGGUUGACUUUGCGAGAACUAACGGAGCAUUAGUGUCAAGAAUGGGCUGAGAUUCGAAUUCAGUCGGUUUUUCGCUCUUUUUUGACAAAAAGGGAUCAAGAUCGGGACCGUCCAUUUGACUUCACACGGAUCACCAUCUGCUUUCUCUCUCAAUGCUCACACAUCUGACAAAAAGGGAUGCCAAAAGCAGGGAAGUACAAUCUACAGGAAAAAGCAACACUUUACUUUUGUGUGAAAGACAGCUUGCUUGCUGCAGUCUGUAUAAUAUAUCAACACUCUUCCAUACACUGUUUGAAAGACAGCACUGCUUCCUUCAGUCUCUAUAAAUAAUCCAGAGAUAUCUACACUCUACUCACACUUUACAAACUCUCAACUACACUCAACUGAAAUUAAUAUAUCAAGUCUUUGCAUUCGGAUCUUGCGUUGUUUCUCGGCUCUCACAUCAAGGUUUUAAAAUUUUUGUCGGCUUUUCACAUCUCCCUCUUGCAUUGUUGUAAGUUCUUUCAGAUAUGACAUAGUGAAAGGAUAAAUUGUUUUUGUAGUUUUGAUUUUACUUUGUUCUGUU
Molecule: long non-coding RNA, 637 nt
Organism: Helianthus annuus (common sunflower)
Lineage: Eukaryota; Viridiplantae; Streptophyta; Magnoliopsida; Asterales; Asteraceae
Exons: 3
Source: RefSeq, a predicted model, not a curated record